AGCCUACCAUAGCCCAAUUACUACAUCCAAUAUUACUUUUUUUCCCAAAAACAAACCAUUUGCUAAGAACAGUAUAGGCGAUAGAACCCCAAUUCUUGGAGCUAUAGUUAUCAGUACCGCAAGGGAAAUAUGAAAUACCAAUGAAAUACACAAGCACAACAAAGCAGAGACUAACACUCGUACCUCUUGCAUCACAGUUCAGCAAGAAUAAACAGACAAGAAGACCCAAAGCCUGGUCCCCCGAAUCCAAGUGAGCUACCCUAAGAUAACUACAGAGUAAACCCGUCCCUGUAGCAAAAGGGUGGGAAAAUCUUAAGGUAGAGGUGAAAAGCCUACCGAACUUGUUGAUAGCUGGUUGCCUGAUAAAAGAAUUUUAGUUCGACUUUAGACUCAAAUCAUAUUUAAUAAUGAAAACUUAGUCUAAAAGAUAUUCAAUGAAGGUACAGCUUCAUUGAACCAGGAUACAACCCGAUAUAGCGAGAAAAAACAACCACCGCAUCAGUAGGCCUUAAAGCAGUCAACAAAAAACAGAGCGUCAUAGCCAAACAAACCAAAAAUUCCAAAAACCACAAACAUCUCCUAAUCUCUUAACAGGCUAUUCUAUAACCCUAUAGAAGAACUAAUGCUGAAACUAGUAACAAGAGACACCUCUCUUAAGCAUACCUGUAACUCAGACUGGAACAACCACUGAAAAUUAACAGACUUUAUGCAACUUAAUACCCACAACAUUACACCAACUGUUAACCCGACACAGGAGUGCCAAAAAGAAAGAUUAAAAGUUAAAGAAGGAACUCAGCAAACACAAGUCCCAACUGUUUACCAAAAACAUAGCCUUUAGCAAGUCAAGUAUUAAAGGUAACGCCUGCCCAGUGAAUAUUUCAACGGCCGCGGUAUCCUAACCGUGCAAAGGUAGCGUAAUCACUUGUCCCCUAAAUAGGGACCAGUAUGAACGGCUAAAUGAGGACUAAUCUGUCUCCUUUGACUAACCAGUGAAACUGAUCUUUCGGUUAAAAAGCCGAAAUAAACGCAUAAGACGAGAAGACCCUGUGGAGCUUUAAAUUAUAACCAAAAUGCCAACACAACACGCCACAUAAUGGCCAAAAAUUUUAAGUUGGGGCGACUUCGGAAAAAAACAAAACUUCCGAGCAUAAAGAGCACCUCUCUAAUCGAGACUGACAAGUCAAAACAACCAUUGACCCAGUACUACUGAUUAACGAACCAAGUUACCCCAGGGAUAACAGCGCCAUCUUCUUCGAGAGUCCAUAUCGACAAGAAGGUUUACGACCUCGAUGUUGGAUCAGGACACCCAAAUGGUGCAGCAGCUAUUAAAGGUUCGUUUGUUCAACGAUUAAUAGUCCUACGUGAUCUGAGUUCAGACCGGAGUAAUCCAGGUCGGUUUCUAUCUAUGACAGAGGCUUUCUUUAGUACGAAAGGACCAAGAAAGCAGGACCAAUGUUAAAAACACGUCCUCACAAUAAAACUGAAAUCAACUAAAAUUACCCUCACCAACUAGGCCGAAGACGACGGCCAA
Molecule: ribosomal RNA, 1531 nt
Filed under: Chalarodon madagascariensis (Madagascar iguana)
Lineage: Eukaryota; Metazoa; Chordata; Lepidosauria; Squamata
Description: 16S rRNA
Rfam family: Bacterial large subunit ribosomal RNA
Source: RNAcentral